Molecule: ribosomal RNA, 452 nt
Filed under: uncultured bacterium
Lineage: Bacteria
Description: bacterial SSU rRNA
Rfam family: Bacterial small subunit ribosomal RNA
Source: RNAcentral
UACGGAAGGCAGCAGGGGGGAAUAUUGCACAAUGGGCGCAAGCCUGAUGCAGCCAUGCCGCGUGUAUGAAAAAGGCCUUCGGGUUGUAAAGUACUUUCAGUCGUGAGGAAGGUGUUAAGGUUAAUAACCUUAGCAAUUGACGUUAGCGACAGAAGAAGCACCGGCUAACUCCGUGCCAGCAGCCGCGGUAAUACGGAGGGUGCGAGCGUUAAUCGGAAUUACUGGGCGUAAAGGGCACGCAGGCGGUUAAUUAAGUUGGAUGUGAAAUCCCCGGGCUUAACCUGGGAAUGGCAUUCAAGACUGGUUAGCUAGAGUCUUGUAGAGGGGGUAGAAUUCCAUGUGUAGCGGUGAAAUGCGUAGAGAUGUGGAGGAUACCGGUGGCGAAGGCGGCCCCUGGACAAGACUGACGCUCAUGUGCGAAAGCGUGGGGAGCAAACAGGGAUUUAGAUACC